CUCUGGGGAACCCCAUGGAGAGGAGCACGUCCAGCGCCGAUCCAUGCUUGAUGGUGCCGGGGCGCUGCUGGCGGUUCCUCCGGGGGGUGACUUUGCUGUACAGCUCCUCUCUCGCAGCCAUGCCGAGCGGGCUGGGGUUGCCGUACUGAGCCAGGGCUUAGCGGCCAGCCAUUGCCAGGGAAGGCUCCCGGGCCGGUCGUCCGGCGCGGGCCGGACCAGGGGAGGGGGCUCCGCGAUCGCUAGCCAGGCGAGUGGCGGCGGCGGCGGAGGCGGCGCUCCGAGCUUCCCUAGUGUCGAGACUCUGACGCUUCCUGGUGAGGCCACCGGAGCCAGACGCUGGCAAGCAGCUUCUGCGGGACCAGCCGUCAGCCAGGCGGGCCCCGGGUGCUCCCAGCGCUGCGCCUGCGGUAGCCCUCCCUACUCCGCCCCUUUCCUUCUCCUCUGCAAGCAGUCCGGGAAUUUGCAAUGAGUAAUUUUUGAAUGGAUCAAAAAGGAAAAGGAGCCUUGUGGGCUGG
This 515-nucleotide long non-coding RNA is filed under the name Marmota monax (woodchuck). The record is from RNAcentral. Lineage: Eukaryota; Metazoa; Chordata; Mammalia; Rodentia; Sciuridae.